CUUGGUACAGGUGUUUUAAGAGGAGUCUUAAAGAGUCUUUGGUACCUACUCCUACAUUGCUCCAAAAUCAUCUACCUGGCAGCAUUAGGGCUAGUCUUCUGGUUAGAACAGCAGAAAGAUUACAGAGUAAAUGCUGAAGUCUUUGCUCAUACUAAAAUACAAUUAACUUUGCUUGGUUGUCUAAUGGUCCUCGCUGUCGUUCACCGGGUGUGAGAUCAUCAAUACUGCUUUGUAGAGAAAGCCUCAUGGUGGAUAAUUCCUUUCAGAAAUAUUUGUUUCCUGGAGAUUGGAGGUGAAACCCUGGCCCCACUGACACUAGUGACAAAGUAAUUGAUGGCUUCAAAGGGUCCAAAAUAUUGUAAGUAUCAUCCUGAUCAACAUCAAGAUUUCAAAAAUUAAAACCAUUUAAUACUGACAUUUGACUGAAUGGUUUUUAUUCUAUUAUUACAAGCCCAAACUGCUAUUUUGUCUGACAUAGAUGUAGUAUAGCCAGUGGCACUGUUUAAUUUCAGCAUUCCCAUAUAGCCUAGACUUUGUCGCUCUCUCGCACUCCUCAGAAGUAAAGGGGACUGUGUGGAACAGAUGGCACCACCUGGACCACAGUUCAGAGUAUGUCCUGAUUUGUGAUAGAGUUAAAAUUCUGAAGGUUAUUCCUGAGUAGUUAAAAUCCUUACUGAGAGGAAAAUCACCUGAUGUUCUCCAAGCCUUAGAGUUGUCUCUGGAAAGAGUGAUGGUCUGCAAUCAACUGUA
This 750-nucleotide long non-coding RNA is filed under the name Anas platyrhynchos platyrhynchos (common mallard). RNAcentral's name for it is "lncRNA (ENSAPLG00000025559.1)". The record is from RNAcentral. Lineage: Eukaryota; Metazoa; Chordata; Aves; Anseriformes; Anatidae.